GAUGAACGCUGGCGGCGUGCCUAAUACAUGCAAGUCGAGCGAACAGAUGAGGAUCUUGCUCCUCUGACGUUAGCGGCGGACGUGUGAGUAACACGUGUAUAACCUACCUAUAAUACUGGGAUAACUUCGGGAAACCGGAGCUAAUACCGGAUAAUCUAUUGAUCCGCAUGGUUCGAUAGUGAAAGACGGUUUUGCUGUCACUUAUCGAUGGAUCCGCGCCGCAUUAGCUAGUUGGUAAGGUAACGGCUUACCAAGGCAACGAUGCGUAGCCGACCUCAGAGAGUGAUCGGCCACACUGGAACUGAGACACGGUCCAGACUCCUACGGGAGGCAGCAGUAGGGAAUCUUACGCAAUGGGCGAGAGCCUGACGGAGCAACGCCGCGUGAGUGAUGAAGGUCUUCGGAUCGUAAAACUCUGUUAUUAGGGAAGAACAACUGUGUAAGUAACUAUGCACGUAUUGACGGUAACUAAUCAGAAAGCAACGGCUAACUACGUG
Molecule: ribosomal RNA, 497 nt
Filed under: uncultured bacterium
Lineage: Bacteria
Description: partial 16S ribosomal RNA
Rfam family: Bacterial small subunit ribosomal RNA
Source: RNAcentral